UUUUUAGCAUAAGUAUAUCCCAUGCAAUAUUUGAGACAUACUUACACUAACA
Molecule: non-coding RNA, 52 nt
Organism: Macaca mulatta (Rhesus monkey)
Lineage: Eukaryota; Metazoa; Chordata; Mammalia; Primates; Cercopithecidae
Source: Rfam